AUGGGCCUCCUCACCCAGGCUGAUAGAGGGCUCGGGUGUCGGCUGCCCGACAGGUCCGCCGUCGCCGACUUCGUCUUCAAUGGCUCCGCCCUUGCGCGGUUCCUCUCUGACAAAGGCAAGUGGAAGAUGGUGAUGAUGGGCUCGCCUGGCGGACCGCUGCUCCCGCGCGAGAUGGAGAUGAACCAGGAGACGGUUGCCUUCGGCGGCCACCUGUGGUGGGUCGACCUGACCUUGGGCGCCGUCUCCAUCGACCCCUUCGCCGACCGGCCGGAGAUCUGCUUCGUCGAGCUGCCGAGCGGCAGCGUGCUGCCUGCGCCUGCAUGUGCGGAUAGGCUGGAUCUAGCAUGGGGCAUGGGUGUACAGAUGUACACCUAA
This 375-nucleotide ribosomal RNA is filed under the name Triticum aestivum (bread wheat). RNAcentral's name for it is "partial small subunit ribosomal RNA". Lineage: Eukaryota; Viridiplantae; Streptophyta; Magnoliopsida; Poales; Poaceae. The record is from RNAcentral.